UACGAAGGGUGCGAGCGUUGUUCGGAAUUAUUGGGCGUAAAGGGUUCGUAGGUGGGAUUGUAAGUCAAGUGUGAAAUCCCCGAGCUUAACUCGGGACGUGCAUUUGAAACUGUGAUUCUUGAGUCAUGGAGAGGGUGGUGGAAUUGUUGGUGUAGGAGUGACAUCCGUAGAGAUCAACAGGAACAUCAGAGGCGAAAGCGGCCACCUGGCCAUGUACUGACACUGAGGAACGAAAGCGUGGGGAGCAAACAGG
This 253-nucleotide ribosomal RNA is filed under the name uncultured bacterium. RNAcentral describes it as "partial 16S ribosomal RNA". It matches the Rfam family "Bacterial small subunit ribosomal RNA", at positions 524 to 776 of the family's 1533-position model. The record is from RNAcentral.